Molecule: long non-coding RNA, 1376 nt
Organism: Panicum virgatum (switchgrass)
Lineage: Eukaryota; Viridiplantae; Streptophyta; Magnoliopsida; Poales; Poaceae
Exons: 2
Source: RefSeq, a predicted model, not a curated record
CCGAGCUCAUCAGCUACUAGCUGCCGGUAAGUUGCUUUCCCAUUUGCAUCCAAGGACAAGAAGGUCCUGCCAGGAUUUGGCCCUCCAAUUUGCCGCUACCCAGCCCAAGCUCCCCCUCCGUCUCAUCCCGAACUCCGGCAAUAUAAAUCCAUUAGGUUUGGCCAUGGCGUGGGUUGAUCCGCUGUGUAAGGGAUCUAAAUAAGACUCAGAUCUGGUCAAUUUGGGGCUUGCCCCAAUCUUCGAGCCAACCCUAUGUGAGUUCCUUUUUUUUUUCCUUUUGCUAAGUGGUUCUCGCACAGAUCUUGUUAGCAAGUUGCAUACACGCUCGGAUCUAUUUAGCUUAGAUCCAUGCAUGAAAUUUUGAUUGCUCUAAUUUGUUUGUAAGGAAGAUGCACCCGCACAAAUGUUUCUGGGCAGUAGUGUGUAUGUAGUCCAUAUAGUAAUAACUAGUUGGAUGUUUUAAGAUAAGACAUAUCUUUUAAGUUUCAAACCAGUGCCGAUUUGAGCAUGUUGUGGUUCAUAUGAACAGAUCGAAAAAUAUCUUAAGUUUGAAUUAGAUUUGCUCGUUUUUGUGUGAGAUUCAUAUAUAGUACAAUGUGUUUGCUUGGGAGUUCGGUGUGUGCAGCAAGGAGUUAUCAAUUUUUUUUCAUGAAAUCUGAUCCUUAAACGGUACCAUUAUAGUUGGUACUGGAAAUCUAGCUUGUUACACUAUCCGAUACACCUCCAAUGCAAAAUUCUCAUGGCAGAGAUUUAGGUCUUAAACUUGACCCGGUAACAGGGAUAAAAAGGUUUACCUGUCUUUUGUUCUUAUUAAUUACUCGUAGUUUCAGAAAUAUAUCACACCUUGCGAAGAUCAUUGAUCAAUGACUUCAGCUUUGGUAUAUAACAGCUCUGGCCCGGGCCACUGUAUUUGCUGCAAAAGAUUAUUUCAUAGCAGCUUCCUUCUAUGCAAAGCUUCCACCUCCACCGCUGUCCACCCCUGCCUCCUCCGCCUCCGCCGCCCACCCCGGCCUCCUCCGUCACCGCCCAACCCUGCCUCCUCCAGCCGCGGACUCUCUCUGUCCAAUGGAGGCCUGCGUCCGCACGAUGCAAGACCGGAGGAGGAAGGACAGGAGGCGGCGCGCGCGGCUUCGACCCUCGACGGCGCAGCUCUGGAACGGCGGCAAGGCGAGGAAUGGCAAAGCGACCCGGACGCCUAGGUUUUUCUACCGCCUGGAUGUCUAGGUGACGCCUUGAAAACAGAUAUUGUGCGAGCAUAUAACCAGUACAAAGAGCAAAUCAUAUUUCAUAUGCAAAUCAUAUUGUGUAAGUAAAGAUGAUUCCAAGAUAUUGUCAUUUCUAAAUAUAUAUAUUCAGAAAGGAAGAAUUAUUAUAAA